UCCGGUGGCAAUAGCGGAGGUUAAAAACCCGUUCCCAUACCGAACACGGAAGUGAAGCCCUCCAGCGCCGAUGGUACUGAUUACUCGGGAGAGUAGGUCGCUGCCGGAU
Non-coding RNA from Thermoanaerobacterium saccharolyticum JW/SL-YS485, 109 nucleotides. The record is from Rfam. NCBI's taxonomy places the organism in Bacteria, Bacillati, Bacillota, Clostridia, Thermoanaerobacterales, Thermoanaerobacteraceae.